Molecule: long non-coding RNA, 1545 nt
Organism: Oncorhynchus tshawytscha (Chinook salmon)
Lineage: Eukaryota; Metazoa; Chordata; Actinopteri; Salmoniformes; Salmonidae
Source: Ensembl
ACACAGGAGAAAAGCCUUUCCAAUGUUCCCAGUGUAUAAAGGGUUUUAGGUGGUCAGGGAGUCUGAAAAAGCAGGUGAGAAAACACAGGAGAAAGGCCUUUCCAACAUACUAAUACACAGGAGGAGAAGACAUACCACUGCCCUCAUUGUGAAAAGACAUUUACCCAGUCAGAGGACCUGAAAUCACAUGAGAGAAUCGUUCUGACUUGUGUUUUUGACUGAGAAUUUGUAGUUUUGUUUGGACUGUCAGACUUUAAUCCAUUGUUUGAAAGGGUUAAAAAUACACUGAAAACAUCCAAAAUACAUUCUGUAUUCCACUACAAUCUACAAUGCCAUGUAAAACAAGAUGACAUAGAGGUUAAAUAGUGUGCUUUAUCAAUGUAACAUAUUGUGACCCGUCCACUGUGGGGCUCUGUAGAGUUAUAAUAUCCAUAACAACUAGAGGUCAAACAGGGAAAUGGUUCACAUCGUUGUCUGUAUACCGCUGCAAUCUACAACGCCAUGUAAUGGUGAAUGUACACUAGAUAAAUAGCGGUAAAUUGCUGUGUGCCGCUUAGGCCGCCCGUUGUGACUCUGUCAAGAAUUCAGCAGAGCAAGUUUGUAUGAAGGUCUGGUUAUUAAAUGGGUACAUAGUUCAAUAGUAAUAUCCUCAAAAACACUCUGGUGACAAACUUUGCUGCCCUGUUUCCAAUUGCCCACAUGGCUGGGAGAACCUAUUCAAGUAAGUAAGUAAAUAGAUUUAGAAAAUUGUAAAAAAAAAAAAAAAAAAAAAAAAAAAAGCGAUGUAUUAUUUGUUAACUACAGUCCCUGCUAACUCAAAUGAGCUGCUAAAUGAGCUAUCUAGCCAACUUCAAAUACUGUAUAGAUAGAUAGCUGUCAUGCCCUGACCUUUAGUAUUCUUUGUUUUCUUUAUUGUUUUUGUUAGGUCAGGGUCUGACAUGGGUGAUGUAUGUGUUUUUGUACUGUCUAGGGGUUUUGUAGGUUUAUGGGGUUGUUUACUAUCUAGGUGUUUAUGUAUGUCUAUGGUUGCCUAGAUUGGUUCUCAAUUAGAGGCAGCUGUUUAUCGUUGUCUCUGAUUGGGAACCAUAUUUAGGCAGCCAUCUUUGGGUAUUUCGUGGGUUAUUGUCUAUGUGCCUGUACUAGUUUUAUAUCGCUUCACUUUCGGUUUGUUGUUUUUCUAUAGUUUGUUAAGUGUUCUUCGUCUUCAUUAAAAAGUAUUUAUUCUUAUCACGCUACGCUUUGGUCUCCUCUUUACGAUGAGCGUGACAGAAUAACCCACCAUAAAAGGACCAAGCAGCGUGAUAAGGAGGAACAGCGCUUUGUGGAAUCGAGGACUAGGGACGAAAUACUGGACGGUAAAACAUCCUGGACCUGGGAGGAGGUAAUGGCAGGGGACAAGACCCUGCCAUGGAAGCAGGUGGAGAGAGCACAGGAGGAACGGCGACGGUAUAUGGGUACAAGGCUAGCACGGAAGCCUGAGAGGCAGCCCCAAUAAUUUUUUGGGGGAGGGGCACACGAGGAGUUUGGCUAAGUCAGGUAGGAGAC